UUUUGACCAGUUGUGGAUUUUAUUGACAUAGACUGAAGUCUUGCGAAGUUAUUCCCAUUGUAAAAGGGGAUGAUUUUUUAAUAAUAUGUAAAAUUCCAUUUUUACCUGCAGACAAGGACAUGGAAAAGGAUACUUCAACAGAUGAUGAUCCAAUGGAUUUUGGGUUUGGCUCACCAGCAAAUAAAGAUAAGAAGAAGAAUUCGUUCAAGCUAUUACUUCUCUAAGAUACAGUUGGUUGACAAAAAGGCCUAAUGUUUCAUACCAAACAUUUGACUAACCGCCCCUAAUCAAUCAGGUUUCAUCUAUUUAUCUCCCUCUCUCUAUUAUGUAUCUUCCCUCAUUAUUUCUAACCAGUUUUAUGAUACCUUCAUUGGAGCUAACUGGUAGAUGUGUAGUUGAAAAUGCUUCAGAAGGUUAGUUUGAUGAGUUGUUUUUAAUUAUUCUGAGGGUAUGAUAUAGAUAUAUUCGGUGAGGGUUUGAGGAUUCUAAAUUUCUGAGUUUCGUAUGAAUGUGAAAAAUAUAAUCGAGCUUUGAUUUUAAUGAGACUGUUGAGUUCAUAUACUAUCACUGUUGGUUAUUGUUGUGGAGUUUCUAAUAUAUCACUUCUUUUGUGACUUGAAACUUGAUACCCCAGAAAACAGAGGUGUUCUUCUUCUUCUUGAAGGUAAAAACAUAAUCCAAACUGAAGAGAAGUAUCAGAAGAGCAAGGGUUGCAAGAUAAGCCAUUCUUUCGCCUCUAUUAAGAGAAAUCAUGUCGUCUGAAAAUGACAAAAAAAUCUACCAAAGCCUCUUUAGUUUGCUCUGACUCUCCAUCGACAAUGUAUGAACUCAUGUUGUCUCUCAGUUCUGACUCAUGUCUAACUCCCCCACCACAAAUUCUUACACAACAAUAGACAAGAAUAGCUCAAACUUUAUCUGAUCACCGGAUAUACAGGUUUGAUUAAUGGACUACACCCUACAUACUACGGCUUCACAUCACGAGGCUCUGCAAUUGUUCCAAUUUUAUGAAGACAGCUUCAAACUCCCCAUUGAGAUCUCAAAAAUAUUCAUGCACUCCAAACAGAGGUGAUUUUAAUCCCUCCCUAAAUUAUUUACACUCUAUUAUAUAGAGACAAGUUUGUUCUACUGUAUAGUAUAGCAUGGUGAUAUAUUCAUAUUUUCAUUCAUACCAUGUAUUCAACUGAUAGUGAGAACUAAGUGAAUAUGCAAUUUAUAGCAAACGUCAUCCCCAGUCCAGUACCAACCAACGAUUCUGAUUCUCCACAAAUACUCACCAACAUCUUCCAAAACUGGUGAAAGUCUGAAAAUUUCUUUGAAAAUAUUACCUCAUUUUCCAUUAGUAAGGAAUAUUGUUCCCUAUUUAGUACCAAACAAACACAUUUAAGCUUCACUUACUCGGAACCAGUAAGUUUCUUUGUUUUGUUUUUUUUGCUUGGAAUAUUGCUAACUAUAAAGAGCUAAAUAUAAAGAAGAAGAUCUUAAUCAGCAUCAAAUUUUGGGUACUAAUUCUAUCUGCAAAGCUCAUGUUAUUUCUUUUAUAUAAUGUAUUCCAUGUUCUUGAGAUUGCACUUUCUUUGGAACAGGCGAUCCAAUGGGCGAAAGGUAUGAGAGAAUAGAGAUAUCACAUCUUUGAUCACGGCCGUAGAGAAAGACAUGAGCAAGAAGAUACAAGAGAAAGAUCAGGAGAUGAUGACCAGUGGUUAGAAGUGUUAAGAACAAUUCAUAGGAGGCUAUAGGCAUCCAUUAGUUUGGUGUACUAAUAUAUAUCCAGGAAGAGCAAGAAGUACUCAUUGAGCAACUUCGGAAGAAAAUGGCUUAAAGCAAAAUGAAUAUUUAUGUUUCGUGUUUAUCAGAAAGAAAUAGAUCCUUAAAUACACAACAACCGAAAGCAUGAAUUACUCUUAAGUUAUACUUUCAUCAUUUGUUUCAUAUUUUCAAACUAUACUAUCAAGUUAGAAUAAGUUUAUUUCUAUGAGAUUGAAACAAAAUCCCUACUUAGAAUUGGUACUUGGUCAAAAAUUUUAACCGUAAGCUUCAUCUCUCUCUCACAUGUGUUUUAUAAAUCAUUUAACUUCAAACCUACAUACACCAGAUCGAAUUGUAUUUUCCCUUUAUGAGCUGGAUCCAACCUGUUGUUUGAUGUGUGACAAGAAACAUAAGACUUUGGAGACCUGUAUGGUUCACAUGCAUAAGCACCAUGGUUUCUUUGUUCCAGAUGUUGAGUAUCUAAUCCAGAAGGGCUUCUCACUUACCUUGUCUCUACUGCAGUGAGCUGUGCCAUGCAUUCAGCAGCUUAGAAGCUGUAAGAAAGCAUAUGGAAGCAAAGAGUCAUUGCAAAUUGCAUUAUGGUGAUGGUGAUUUUGAGGAAGAUGCUUUGUUUCCUGUUUCCUUUUAUAAAACAAAUGUCAUUGUUUACUUUACUUUUUAAAGACAAAUCUGAAUUUACAUUUCUUCUAUCAUGAAUAUUUUUAAAAAGUUAAUUUGUUGUUUGCUACUUUUGAAAUUCAUUAAUACUCCCUCAUGUACUAACUCCUACUAUCAACUUUCCGUUUAGGAUAAACCAAUAAACUUCAAAAAAGAAAAGAAAAACAAAUCCCCUAUACAUACGAACCGUAAACCAAUAAAAUGCAUUGCCUGCCAAAACUUUUAACAUUUUCAUCCAGCAGGAGUCAAAAAUGCAUUCACAUACUUUCGAAAGUUAAGGACUCCAGGCCUGAGAUCUCCUAACAUGCACUCAGAAAAUCCAUUCAUGACUCUCAAUUCUUAAUCGUCAAGAACUAAUAAUUCUAUGUUGAUUGGACUAACAACUAACAAAUGAAAAAUAAAACUAAUUGAAUUCAAAAAAGAAAACAACGUCUGAACCCGGUGCGUAGCGCCGGAAUACCCCUAGUAUAAUAAUAAAGGAGAGUUGUCUAUCUCCACAGCCCCCCCCCCCCACACACACACACACACACACACACAUGGGGCAUUUUUUGCCACAUGUCACUUUCUCAUUCUGACGAUAACACGGUUCUUUCUUCGCAAACAGAGUUUAGCAUUUUCAGAAGUUUACCUGUUUAAUUUAUGUAGCCCAGAACUAACCAAUCUUGGCCCACCAAAAGUCCAUAUGAACUUCCAUUUUUUUUCCUCGGCUAGGAAACUCUCGCUUCCACAACCUCUGGGAUACCACCUUCGUAACGCCUCUCCUCUCCAUUCAAUUAAGUAAGAUACUUCAAUUCAGCCAUCCCAUUACUUGAUAUUUAACUCACGAUAAUCAUCACCAGUUUUGUAUUCUUCUCUGAAACGUCACCACCAACACGAAUCACAUAUACAGACCAGAGUAAAAGAUAGAAACAUAGAGAGAGAGAGAAAGAGAGAGUGGAGUUUACUAAGAUAGAGAUGGGAGGUGUGACUUCUUCAAUUGUGUGAAGGUGGCACUCUUCGGCCAUAUCAGUUAACUUACAAGGCAAUCAGAGACAACACAUACGGUGGUCCGAUGUUGGAGCUCUCGAUCGAGCUAAAUAUUCAGCUUUGUGUCAAUUUGAUGGGGUUAGUUCUUUUUUUCUCUUUUGUGUGUAUUCACUUUCUACUGCUUCAACUUCUCACAACUCCUAAUAUCAUCAAUACUUUCAAUGAUUUGAUCAAAAAACGAGUACGGUUUCCAAAGGGAAGGAAAUCUAUCUAAUUAUAUCAAAUUAUAUCUUUGCCAUUGAUAUAUUGGAUUAUUAUAUCUUUGCUAUAUAAAUGUUUAUAUGUACCUGCAGCCUCCAGGGUCCAAAGUACCAGGAGAAUGUUAUAAUUUCUCGGUUUUGGCGGAAAAACGUAAUUUCCGAUUUUGUUUCGGGAAAACGUAAUUUUUUAACUUUACAAGAAAACAUGAUUUCACGAUUUUGGCGAAAAACAUGAUUUUUCUGGUUUUUGCUGAAAAUAUAAUUUCUUGGUUUUGGGGGAAAACAUGAUUUCACGGUUUCGGCAAAAAAACAUGGUUUUCCGGUUUUUGCGGUAAUUAUAAAUUAUCGAUUUUGGCGGGAAAAUGUGAUAUCUCGGUUUCGGCGGAAUAACGUGAUUUUCGGUUUUUUUUGCUGGAAAACGUGAUUUCACGGUUUUGGCGGGAAAACGUAAUUUUUUUUAUUUUGACGGGAAAACUUGUUUUUUCGAUUUUGGCGGGAAAAUGUGAUUUUCUGGUUUUGCAAAAAAAAUAUAAUUUCACGAUUUUGGUGGGAAAAGGUGAUUUCUCGGUUUUGGCGGGAAAACAUAGUUUCUCGGUUUUGGCGGAAAAUCGUGAUUUUUUCGGUCUCGGAGAAAAAAAGUAGUUUUGUUGAAAAAGUAGUUUUGUAAUUUUUGAGAGAAAGUGUAAUUUUUAAAGUUUAAAUUAUAAAUUAUAAAUUAAUAGUUAUAAAUACUAUUGGGUAUCCAUGGGCAUGCCCAUUUAGACAUUGUCUCUAUUGGUCUUGGACAUUUGUUUGGACCAUUGUCCAUUAUAGAUCACCCAUUACUGCCCAUGGUCCAACUGGGCAAGCCCAAUUGGGCGCUGGACGAACCAUUUGACAGCUCUACCUGCAGGGUCCAAAGUACCAGGAGAAUGUUAAUAUUCGCUUAGGUGAUGGAUCUAUGAGACGUGGUCAGGUCAUGGAGGUUGAUGGCGAGAAAGCUGUUGUCCAGGUAUUCUAGAUUGAAUUCGACACUACGCCAAUGCACUUGGCUAUACAGGUUCGAUGUUCUCAAUAAUUAAUUUUCUUUGGUUUCAGGUUUUUGAAAGAACAUCUGAAAUUGGCACCGUUCAAUACACUGAGGUAUUUACUAUGACAGUCUCUUCUUUUAAGCGUUUCUCGGAACCAAUGAUUGCUUAUAAUGAUUUUUUUAACCUUUUUUGUUCAUUGUACGAUUUCAGGUACUGAAAACACAUGUAUCUCAAGAGAUGUUUGGGCGCAUUUUUAACGGCUCAAGAAAGCCAA
Molecule: long non-coding RNA, 4934 nt
Organism: Brassica napus (rape)
Lineage: Eukaryota; Viridiplantae; Streptophyta; Magnoliopsida; Brassicales; Brassicaceae
Exons: 3
Source: RefSeq, a predicted model, not a curated record